GAGCUAGUAACUCAGUUGGUUAGAGUACUCGUUUGAUAAGCGAGAAGUCAGUGGUUCAAGUCCACUCUAGCUCA
This 74-nucleotide transfer RNA is filed under the name Tetraselmis sp. CCMP 881. RNAcentral's name for it is "tRNA-Ile". It matches the Rfam family "tRNA". Rfam says of the family: Transfer RNA (tRNA) molecules are approximately 80 nucleotides in length. The record is from RNAcentral. Lineage: Eukaryota; Viridiplantae; Chlorophyta; Chlorodendrophyceae; Chlorodendrales; Chlorodendraceae.